GUAGGGAAUCUUGCGCAAUGGGCGAAAGCCUGACGCAGCCAUGCCGCGUGAAUGAUGAAGGUCUUAGGAUUGUAAAAUUCUUUCACCGGGGACGAUAAUGACGGUACCCGGAGAAGAAGCCCCGGCUAACUUCGUGCCAGCAGCCGCGGUAAUACGAAGGGGGCUAGCGUUGCUCGGAAUUACUGGGCGUAAAGGGAGCGUAGGCGGAUAGUUUAGUCAGAGGUGAAAGCCCAGGGCUCAACCUUGGAAUUGCCUUUGAUACUGGCUAUCUUGAGUAUGGAAGAGGUAUGUGGAACUCCGAGUGUAGAGGUGAAAUUCGUAGAUAUUCGGAAGAACACCAGUGGCGAAGGCGACAUACUGGUCCAUUACUGACGCUGAGGCUCGAAAGCGUGGGGAGCAAACAGGAUUAGAAACCCCAGUAGUCC
This 425-nucleotide ribosomal RNA is filed under the name uncultured bacterium. Its description in RNAcentral is "partial 16S ribosomal RNA". It matches the Rfam family "Bacterial small subunit ribosomal RNA", at positions 354 to 796 of the family's 1533-position model. The record is from RNAcentral.